ACUGGUAUGGCCGAUUGGAAAGGCGCCCCUGCAUUAGCUGGGAGCAUGCUGGAUCAAUUCCAGCUGCCAGUU
Molecule: non-coding RNA, 72 nt
Organism: Phytophthora sojae
Lineage: Eukaryota; Oomycota; Peronosporomycetes; Peronosporales; Peronosporaceae
Source: the annotation of a RefSeq genome assembly